GGUGCGGUGGCCUAAUGGUUAGCGUGCUGGACUCCGAAUCGAGCGGUCCGGGAUCGAGCCCUGUUGGGGUCA
This 72-nucleotide transfer RNA is filed under the name Desmophyllum pertusum. RNAcentral describes it as "tRNA-Arg". Lineage: Eukaryota; Metazoa; Cnidaria; Anthozoa; Scleractinia; Caryophylliidae. The record is from RNAcentral.